UACGUAGGGUGCAAGCGUUGUCCGGAAUUAUUGGGCGUAAAGAGCUCGUAGGCGGUCUGUCGCGUCUGCUGUGAAAACUCGGAGCUCAACUCCGAGCCUGCGUUCGAUACUGGAUGGCUAGAGUCUGGUAGGGGGAUCUGGAAUUCCUGGUGUAGCGGUGGAAUGCGCAGAUAUCAGGAGGAACACCGGUGGCGAAGGCGGGAUCCUGGGCCAGUACUGACGCUGAGGAGCGAAAGCGUGGGGAGCAAACAGG
Molecule: ribosomal RNA, 253 nt
Filed under: uncultured bacterium
Lineage: Bacteria
Description: partial 16S ribosomal RNA
Rfam family: Bacterial small subunit ribosomal RNA
Source: RNAcentral